GGCAGUCUUGUCAAAUUCAGUGCUCUCUCCUCUGUGGGUUCCACUGGCCAAAAUGACUGCCACAGUAAAGGUGUAGUUCAUGGGCCCCACGGUGCUCCCACAUGCCCACUGGGGAUAAAUAUGUACUACACACAAAA
Molecule: small nucleolar RNA, 137 nt
Organism: Parambassis ranga (Indian glassy fish)
Lineage: Eukaryota; Metazoa; Chordata; Actinopteri; Ambassidae
Source: Ensembl